AUAUUUAUUUAUUACUUAUUUUAUGAUUUUAUAAAAUUGUUUUAAUAAAAAUAAUUUUAAAUAUUGAAUUUGUAGUAUUUUAUAAUGAAUAAAUAAUAAAAGUGAUAGUUUAUUAGUAUAGUAAUAGAAAUAUGAAAUAUAAAUUUGUAUUAUAAAAAAAGUAAAUUUAAUUUAUUGUACCUUUUGUAUCAGGGUUUAUUAAAUAAAAUUUAAUUAUUUAUUAAAUUUUCUCGAAUUUAAAAGAGUUAAAGUAAUAUGAAGGUUAUUGUAAUAAAAUUAUUUUAAAUAUUAUUUUGGUAAUGAAAGGUUAUUCGAUUUUAAAUAUAUCUAGUUUUUUAAGAAAUGAAUUUAAUUCAAAUAUAAUUAUUUAUUUAAUGUCUAGUUAAGGAUGUUUGUAAUAAUUAUAUUAAUAUAUUUGGGGAUAAGCUUAAAUAUAUUUAUUAUAAAUUAUGAAUAAUAUAAAAUAAAAUUAGUAGGAUUAGAAAUUUUUAACUUUAAUUAAAGUGUUAUAAUUAAUUUAUUUUAUAAGGUAAUUUAUUUAAUUUUAAUUUAUUUAUUAAAAUAAUUAUAUAAACAAAUUAGUGUAUUGUAAUUAUGAUAAAAUUAGUAUUAAUUGUUUUUUUAAGUAAAAAUUUUAUUUAGAUAAAAAUAAGGAAUUCAGCAAAAUAAUAUUCACCUGUUUAUCAAAAACAUGUCUUUUUGAAAAUAAUUUAAAGUCUAACCUGCCCACUGAAAAUUUUAAAGGGCCGCAGUAUUUUGACUGUGCAAAGGUAGCAUAAUCAUUUGUCUUUUAAUUGAGGACUAGAAUGAAGGGUUGUAUGAAAUAUUAACUGUCUCAUUUUUAUAAAAUUAAUAAUUUAUUUUUUUAGUUAAAAAUCUGAAAUAAAUUUAAAAGACGAGAAGACCCUAUAGAUCUUUAUAAGUAGAUAUUUAUAUAUAAUAAGGAAUAUUUAAAUAAAUAUGUAAAUAUGUUUAUUAUGUUGGGGUGACAGGAAAAUUAAAUGAACUUUUUUAUUUAUAAACCAAUGAUAUUUGAUUAAUUGAUCCAACAAUGUUGAUUAGAAAUUUAAGUUACCUUAGGGAUAACAGCGUAAUUUUUUUUGAGAGUUCUUAUCGAAAAAAAAGAUUGCGACCUCGAUGUUGAAUUAAAGGUUAUUUUUAAGUGCAGAAGCUUAAAGUUUUAGGUCUGUUCGACCUUUGAAUCUUUACAUGAUUUGAGUUCAGACCGGUGUGAGCCAGGUCGGUUUCUAUCUUUAAAUAAAAUUUAUAUUUUAGUACGAAAGGACCAAAUAUAAAAAAAAUUUUUUUAUAUAUUGAAUAAUAAUAAAAAU
RNAcentral lists this ribosomal RNA (1331 nucleotides) under Psychopsis coelivaga. RNAcentral describes it as "16S ribosomal RNA". The stretch from base 889 to 1257 matches the Rfam family "Archaeal large subunit ribosomal RNA", at positions 2153 to 2718 of the family's 2987-position model. Lineage: Eukaryota; Metazoa; Arthropoda; Insecta; Neuroptera; Psychopsidae. The record is from RNAcentral.